AAUAUUUUUAUUAACGAAAAUAGAAACAUCUUACAAAAUCGCCCCCAAUAUAAACAUUAGACACCCAAAAUAGAAACUAUCGAACACCUAUAAAUUAAAACAAAACAAAAAGAAGAGACACAUUAGAACAAAAAUCAAACACAACCGCCAAAACAUGGAAGAAACUCAUGUCUUAACUCCACCCCUUCUUCCCAUGAAGUCAACAAGCAAAUAUGCUCCCGAUGAACAAGAACAACAUCGAUCAUCCCCAUCACCUCAAACACAACCAUGAUAAAGCCACCAAAGAGCUUAUUUUUAUUAUUGUUACCCAUGGAAAACGCUAACAGCUUCAUGACGAUUAAAGUAGGAAUCACAAUUAACAUUGGAUAUGAAACACCAUGAGAGCCAAGAAAUGAUCCGCAAAUGGCUCCAGAGAGAUAACAAAAGACACAAUCAGAACUGAUGGCUCCGUAUACCAUGCCCCAAUAAGCAACCCGAUAAUAAAACCUGCAAAUCAUAUCACAAGCCACAUUACUUAUUAGCUCCAUGGCAAUUUCGAACACCGUCCAUUUCCCCUCCUUUAAAGCACUCCUUUUCUUUCUUAGUUUUCAUACUUCUACUCAAUUAUAGUCGCAACUCGUUUGAUGUCUCAUUGUAUGAAUUAAUUGGGUUAUAAUUAAAAAUUAUGGAUGCAUUGAAAUGUAACAAUUCAUGCAGUUUUAUGUUUUAGUAGAAUUAUGUUAUAAUAUUUGAAGCAGAUUGAAUAUCCAUCAAUCGGCUAAUAAUCUCAGUCAUCGUUCUAGACUUAUCCAUCCCCACUGAAACUGAUUUAGAUUUUGAUUGAUUUGUUGAUUCCGAGCCAUCCUCAUCAAUUUCGUCUUCCUUGUUACUGCAUUUGUAUAUUGACGACACCACUGGAUCGAUCUCAACUAUUCUCACCUCAAAACAUUUAUCACCAACCUGUAAAUCAAUAACUUUAUCAAUCUUUUGCAGGUGAUCUGUUAUGAUCUCUAUACUUCCCCUAAAAAGAGAGACUCUGUUUUCAGUAUCCUUGUCAACUCUCAAAAACUUACCCCAGUGGCAUGCUAUAUUAUGGAAGGUUCCUUUACUCCAUACAUGAGGUGGAAUUCCAUAGCACAUGAGCCAUGUUCUUCGGCAAUUGGACAUACCAUCAUCAUUCCAUGGCUCAACUUUAAAAAACCAUUUCAAUAAAACUCCCCAUUUUGAUUCCUUAAGGUCCUAAAUUAAGUUUUUGUUAUUGAAUGAUAAGAUAACAGAGCAACCCGAUAAUUUGAAAACAUCCACCCCUGCAAUUCCUUCAGCCAGCAGCUGAUCUCUAAGCGUUUUCAUGAUUGAGAGAUCCUCAAUCCAUCCUACGGCGCAAUGCUCCAGCCAGCUUAGUUUAUUAAUAUCUAUCACUCCUUGUUGCACAACAGCCCUCUUUGAUUCAAACUCCUUUCUAACACCCUCUAAAUCCACCUUAGCAUCACAACGUUUGGCAUCAUUCCCAUCUACUUUAUUUGAUUCAUCUUCCUCUUACUGCUGAAUCACCUUCACGUUAGCUCUUGCUUGAAAAUCCCUAUUCCAGAAACCAUUACGACCCUGAAUCAAAUUUUCAUCUACACCAGACUUUCUCCAGAAAAAGCUCCUGAUUCCAAAUCGUGCCGUGCUCACUUCAAUUCGAAAUCCAUAGAGUCUGAAUCUGUUUAGUCUCUUAAUCGCCCUAUUUGCGUUAGUAAUACUUCCAUAUCUUAUAAAACCAAAUCUUUUCCCACUCUUUCCUCUUUUGAGAGGAAUGAAAGCAUAAAAAACUCUAAUGUAAAACUAUCUUGAAAUACACUUCAACACACUCGAAUCCCUCCUCCUACUUAUAAUAACGUGUCUAUCAACCAAAUUAAGAAUCAAUUAGCACCAACUUUAUUUAUCUUGAAAUUUAACUAUUGAACAUACUAAUUUGUUUUCUCGUGCCAUACCAUAGAUAAGUUAGUUUGGUUUAUUAACAUUAUAAGCAAUUUUUAAAUUAUUUUCAUAAUCAUUUAAAAUAAUCAAAAAUAAAUUAUCCAAUAUGGUAAUAAUAAUAGGGAAGUAGAAUUUUAUCAUAUAAUUAUAUUUUCUUUUGUAAAUUUCUGUAAUUAUAUUUGAUUAAUUGGUUAAGAAAUAUAAUUACUCAAUAAUAAUAUAUUGUAUUAAUUGCAAUUUUAAGUCAUUUUUAUAUCGUGAUUAUCAUAUGGUGUUUAAUGCAUGUGUUGAUUAGUGAGGAUAUUUUUUAAAAAGUAAUUAUAAUGUUAAUAAACGAUUCCAUAUAUUAUCAAUAAAGCAAAUUUAAUUAUCAUUACCGAUUGAUGUGUCAUUUUAUAAUUUAAUACAUCAUCAAUAAAACUCUUUGCAACUCAAAUAAUUUACCCAAAAUUUAAUGUUUUUAUAUAUUUUUUAAAAGUAUAUAAAUUAAGUUUAAUUGAAUUUCUUUUUUGAAGAAUCUUAUUAUAGGUUUUGAUCAUAUUUGCUCUUUUUGACACAGUACCUAAAACUAUCCAUAACCCCUCCCCAACUCAUAAAUAAGAGGAAAAUGCAUUUUAGCACACUCAAACCCACGUUCUCUUGCAUUGCCCACACUACCCAUGCCAAUCAAGCUAAGACUCAAUCAACAUGUUUAACUGAAUUUUACUUACCCAUGUACUGUCGUGUAAAAAAUAUUUAAUUAACUAAAAAAAAUUAACACUCAAAAUAUUUGUGGGAAUUUUAUUCAUGAACUUUUAUUUUGUGCAGUUGUACACAUGAAUUUUUAAUUUGGUCCAUUUUUUUACAAAUUACUAACAUAAUUAUCGUUACAACAUCAUUUUAUGUUUAUAGGUUGCAUAAAUAAAUAAUGAUAUUUAUCCAAUAUAGAAAUAAAUUGAUGCAUUUAUUUCUUUAAAUUUAUAUAAUUGAAUUAAAAAUAAAGUUUUAUGUAUAAAUUUGAACCACAACCAAAGUUUCAUUUGCAUAGUUACACCAAAUAAAAGUUCAUGUAUCAUCCAAUUGAGCUUUAGCUUAGUUGGAAUUGUGGGUUAUAAAUAGAAGUAUAAAUUGUAUAAAAAAAUUUCAUGUAUGAAAUUACAUGUUAAAAAUGUUUUUAUAUAAUUUUAAGAUUUAUCCCUAAAAAUACUUCAAUAAAAAAAUCUCCCACUUUCGUUCUUUCCUUCUUUUAUUCACUCGCAAAUUAACUAAGAUUUUGUUUGAAAAAUACUAAAGCUUGAAAUCUGUCAGACCCCAAAAUAGGGCCUAAGAGUUUUAGGGGUAUUUUAGGAAUUUUAGCCUUCGAGUGUUUGGAAUUUUGUGACAUGGCAUACCGGUAAUGUUUUCAAUUAUGAAUUUUAGAAAAUUAAAUCAAUUUCUAAAAUUGAGUUUUAAAUACCUUUAAUUUUAGAAAAUGGACUGAUUUGUAAAAGAGUCAAAAUUGUAAGUUUUUGUGAAACAAUUAAGCCAAAUUUUAAAAACCAAUCUAUUUCUUCCUUCCCACCUACAAUUUUUCACAUCAACUUUUCCCUAACUAGUGUUGCCAUCUCUUGAUUCUCUCUUACUAUUUCAAUCAAUUUUGAAUUCCAAUUUUUAAUCCUCUUUGAUUUCUAUCACUCUUGAACCUUAAACCUCUAUAAAAGGCCAAGAAAAACACCCAAAAAUACUAUAGUUCCUCCAUUGUCAAGCUUUUGGAUUUUUCGGGUUUCGAUCAAACGCUCGGUUUUCCGUCAACUAAGGUAACAAUUCAUCUUCCUAUUAGUUUUAAAUGUUAUUUAGUCUUUAAAACCAAGUUUUUAGCCAUUAAAUCACAGGUUUUAAAUAAAAGCCAAAAAUCGGGUCUUUAAUGGUGAAUAUUGGGUUUGUGGAUAAAAAUGUAGUUUCGAAGUGUUUUUCAACUUUUUUUUAACAUGAUCAGAAGGUUUCUAAACUUACUUUAAAGUUUUGCUAAAGAUUUCUUGAGUUUUAAUGAAUUUUCAAAAAAUAGCUAUAAAACAUGUUGAAAAAGUCAAUAUCUUGAAUUGAGUAGUUUUGUGUAGUUUAAAGGUUGAGAAUUAGUCGUAGGUGAAUUAUAAGAUGAACAGGAUUAGUUUUAGGCGAAAAAAUUAAGUAUAGAUCAAGAUAUUCAAAUUUAAAGGUUGUUAUUUUAUAAGUUUCAGUAACAUGAGAACUUAGUUUAGGCUUAUAUUUUGUAUGCUUGUAAUGAGUAUUUGGUUGAUUUUUGGAUGUAUUGUUGUGUGAAUUUAUUGUGUUGAAGUUCUGAAUUCAAUAAAACCUUCUACGAAUAGAGAUAAAGGCAAGGAAAAGCUACUUUGAGCUUUCGGCUUUUCAGCGAAAACAUAAUCGAUGAGUGUUUGGAAUAAUUACUUGUGGACAUGAUUCAAUGCUCUCUUGUGAUUUAUGUACUUAUGUGAAUAUGAAUAUGUGAACCGGGAUGAAAUGCUAUAGCAUUUGAUAUGUGGAUAUGAUAAUUAUUGUGUAAAGUGCAAUUAUAUACAUGAAAUAAAUGUGUAAUUUAUAUAUUAUAUGACUAUGCUAGUGUUUUGGAAAAGAUGUUAAUAUGCAAUGAUAGUACACAGAUAACCGAUAAGAGAUAUGUAUUGUUUUUCAGAUAUUUUGGCCUUGUGAUAUUGGAACCAUUGGAUAUAAUUGGCAUGCCAUAAGAUUAUGAGUACUCACCUACAUGUACAAUGAUUUUGGGCAUUGAAGCCUGGGGACAUGUUGGAGGGAUAAGGGAAUGUGAGCUAAGCUCCAUUCAACGGGACAUGAGAAGGGUAAUAAGGAGAGUGUUGGUAUUAUGCUUCACUUUUGGGACAUGUUUGACUCUAUGAGUCUAUGUUGGUGUGUUGGAGAUCCGUGUAUCCGAUGAGUGAUGGUAGAGCUCACUUUUAUGUUUUAUAGCUUAAGCGUCAAAUUAUCUAUAAAUAUGAUUACGUGUAUUGUGAUAUAUGUAUAAUGUGAUGUAUGCCCAAAUGAGUAUGUGGUUGCUAUGCAAAUUAUGUUAAAUUGUAUAUAUGUGUAAUGUGUGUAUUGUGAUAUGUGUUUAUAUGACAUGUGACCAUUAUGCAAUUUAUCUAUAAACAUGUUUUUGAGUAUUGUGAUAUAUACUUGAAUGUUAGGUGAUUAUAUGUAUAACAAAUAUUUAUGCUUAAAAGUGAAUAUGUUUACCAUCUAAAAAAACUAGAAAAUAAUACACGAAUAAGUAUAUUAUAAUACUAAAGUUGGAACUGUUGAGGUUAUGUUAUAUGGUUGUUUUGUUGAUACUUGAUGAAUUGUUUGCAUGAUAGUUAUUCUAGGCAUUCAUUGAGCUUGUUAAGUUCACUCACUCCCUUCUUAAACUUUGCAAAUUAGUUGUGAGCCAGUAUGAACGGUGUAGCUUUCUGAGGGGUGAUCCAAGCAAGUCCAUUUUCGUUAUUCGUAGGUGUUUAUUAUUUGGUUGUGUUUUUCGGAAUAAGACAAUGUGGUAGUCUUUGUGCUAAUAUUGGACAUAAUAUUUUGAGUUGUCUCCACGAUUUAAUUGCUCUUAAAAUUUUGGGAUUUUUUUCGUAAUAUGUUAGCUAUUGCUCAAAUUUGCUUUUGAUGUUUGAAACUAUUAUUAUGGCCGUUUUGGUGUUUAUUUGAUGGCGAUAUGAUAGCAUGUUGAAUCAGUACAAGUUGGAAUGACUUAUAUGUUUAAAAAUGUUGUAUUUUUUAUCAAAACAAAAGUAUCGAUAUUUGUAUGUUAAAAACGAUACCUUUAAAAAUUUCAAAGUGCAAGAAGUUAGUCUUGUUAAUUGGUAUCGAUACCUUGGCCCGAGUAUCGAUACUCGAAGGUAAAAUUAUCGAUAUUUGUUCAGUGGUACCGAUAUUUUCCGAUAGUUGGGUUUUUGAUUGAGAAAUAAUAAGCUAGUUUGGUAUCAAUUUUCCAUGAGUUAUCGAUACCUCUUGAGCAAAAUAUUGAUACCAUGUCUUUAGUAUAGAUACCUACGUUGAUGUUUUGAGAUUUUGCUAAAACAGACCAUAUGCAUGCUUAAUUACUAUUUUUAAGGCUAAUUGAUGUAUGUUAGCAUGUAACGAUGAUAACUAAAAAGUAAGAAUGGUUUAACACCUAUAUAAAUACUAAAAUAAGAAGACAAUUCUUUUACAACAAGACUUUAAAAUAUUUUGUAUGACACGAGACGGUAAUGUGGCAUUCUGAUAUUCGAGCUUGGCAACCAAGCCAAGUAUGGGGAGUUAGAAAAUCCAUGUCCGAAAUAUAAUGGUCUUGUUUGAUAAUUGAUUGAUAGCUGACUGCUGAUUGCGGUGAUUAAUUUGAUCAACUGAUUCUAUUAACUGAUUUGACCAACUGUGUAACACCCUAAAUUUUGAACAUUUGUUUGAUAAAUUAUGUCAAUAAUUAAGUCUCUGUAUUUGUGGUUAAGUGUUCUAUUUAUACGUUUGAGAUCGUGAGCUCGAGUCUUCUUUUUUGAAUUUUACUAUUUAUUUUGGUUUAGCCAUUAUCCUUAAAAUCUCAACUUAAAUUUAUUUUUGUGUUAAUCUAUAUCAAGAAUGAGCCUACUGGUUCAAUGGUUAGGCCUCUGUACACCUUCUAGUUCUGUGUUGGAGUCUCUGCGUAUACAAUAAGGAAAUAUUUUUGUUACUACUCCGUUAAGUAUGGUUAGUUUCUUUUUAAAAUUAAUUGAAUUCUUUUCUCCUUCUUGUUACGUUUUUUCCUUCUUCUCUUCUUCUUAUUUUUUUUCUUUUCUUCCUUCUUUUCCUUUCCUCGUGUUCUUCUUCCUGUUCUUGCCUUUUUUUUAUUUCUUGUUGUCAUUUUAUUACUGUUACGACAGGGAAACUUCGUAUUUCAUUGUCUUCGAUUGUCGAGAUAAUUGCGUAAGUUUGAUAUGAAUUUCUGUUAGUAUUUGGUUGUUCAUUUUGUCGAAGUGGGUUUCGCUUAGUUGCUUGAAUUCUUUGAUUAAGUGUUCGUUUGGUCUUUUCGUAGGCAAAGAUAAUGAGAAUAACGCUCCCCAAACAUUUUAGUUCUGUGAAUUAUUGUUUGAUGCGAAGGUAAGGAGUGGAAUCCUUGAGUUCAGGGUUCGUCGAAACUUUUCGACGCAAUUCAGUUUUGUACUCUAAUUCUAGCGUUUCAUUGUGAUUAAUUGUGUAAUUGACCUUUGAAUUGUCUUUUUUUAGGCUUUAAAUUCACCUCGGUCGCUUCUAUGUCGAAACCGUGUCAAGUGUGUAACAAAAACUCAAAAUUUUGCGAACGAAAAAUGCCAAAAAAUAUGGUUGCUAACGCCACACGGUCGUGUAACUCACUGUUUUGGAAUUAAAGGCAUACGGGCUAGGGACACUGUCUUGUGUUCAGGUUGUGUAACUCGCUGUUUUGAGCCACACAAGCCGACCACCUAGGCCGUAUGAAUCCGCAUGGGCGUGUAGGAAAAAAAAUCAAGAUUUUUCCCUAGAGCCGUAAAUGAUGUUCAAAUCGAACGUAGGCUUACCGUAGGGUCCAUAUGAUUGGAAUUGGACAAUGUAACCGUUAUCUAAUGAUCUAUAUAUUAUUUUCAUGUAAAUACUUUAUAUGAAAUCUGAUAAGUAAGUGCGAUAGCAUAACAUGAGUAUGACCUGAAUUUGUAUACUAUAUAUGUAUAUCUGAUAUCUGUUAAAUAGACAUUAGGUUGGGAUUGUGAAAAGAAAAAAGUGUGUGCAGUUUAAUCUAUCAAAUGUGGUGGCUUAACCACAAACAUAUAUCUGACUUUAGCUAUUUAUCGCAUUUGAUCUGACAACUAUACUGCAAUUAUUUUGGAACGUGACAUACGGUCACUAUGCAGUGUGCAGGGAUGGAGUACUUGAUACCCUAUAUGGUGUUAGGGUUGGACAGAGAUAGUGCGUAACGAUUAGGGUUACGAAUCUGCAUCUAAAUCUGAAAUGUUUUGCAACUGUAUCUAAUGUUUUCUGUUUCUGUUUCUAUAUUUGAUUCUGAGAAUUGACUGGUUAACAAAAACCAAAAUCACAUUUAUUAUGUUACGGAUUAAUUAUAAAUGUAAGUUACACACUGAUUUGUAAACUCAUUUAGUCUAUUCAUUGACUUACAGGUAACCCACAGACUUAGGCGGGUCGGCGUGGCAAGAGCUCAAUUAUUUUCCUUCUAAUUAUCUAUUAUUUUAUCCAAACUUAUACUAUCGUGUGUUUUAUUUUGGAUGACUGGUUAUAAGCUUUGAUUUUUAUGUUAGUUUUAACUAUUUAAUUAAUCUUCGACUAUUAAACUUUAAAUAGUUGAAGGUUUGAGUUUUUCUAAAGUUAUUUUAUGUAGCUCUCUAAAAUUGGUCUUAACAUCUAGGUCAAGUAUAAGAUUUACAAAUUGAUCCUAUUAACUGUUUAUUUAAAAGUGUUUGGUAAAACUUAGCUGAUAGUUGAAGGCUAAUAUUUUUAAAAUGACAAAUAAGGGCAUUACACAUUUUAAGGUUAAGUAUUUAUUUGUUUAUAAUAUUUUAGUCUAUAUUGAGUGAAAUUAUUGAAAUAAAAUGCUAUUACCAAGGAAUUAAAACAUCCAUUAUGGAAAUUAAUUAGUGAAUAUUUUUGAAAAUUUAAAUAAACAGAUUUCUUAAGUUCCUUAUUUGUAAAUAUUAACCUUGUGAAAAUUGAUAAAUAUUAAUAGUGUAUCAAUAUAAUUGUAAACCAUAUUCUUAGUGAUAAUUAUGUCAUGUUUUUAGUAUGUAAAUUAGUAAUAAUUAUGUCACAUUCUGAAUAAAUUUGUCAAGUAGCACAUUUCAAUUUAUAUAAAGUUGCAUAAGAAAUCAAUUUACACAAGUAAAUUAAAAAUAAAUUAAGAAUAUAUAAAUAUUCAAGGAUAAAUGAGCUCGAUUGAAAAUUUCUCGCGACAAUGUUAAUUCACAAUGGAGUUUUUUUGUAGAUUCACGGUGGAGUUUUUUUUUAUUUGAGAUUUACUUUGGACUUUGGAGGUGAAAUUGGAAAUGAGAGAAUGGAGGUUACUGAUAUCUUGACACCCCUAUUAGGUUUGAGAGUAUGUGGCAAAGGGAGUAAUUUUUUAGCAAGCAUUGUCAAAUACAUAAUUCCACAUAUCUCAUUCUCAAUUAGCUAAACAAGUUUUUACAAACCUCCAUUCACCAAAUAUUACAAUGAGAAAGCUUGACUACUCAAUCCUUUAUUUGUGUCCAAAUCAGCUAAAAAAGCUCAAAACUCUAUUUAUUAAAUACCCCCAAAACUUAUUCAAUAAAAUAAGUGAAAAAUGUAAUAUUAAAAUUUUAAUUAUAAAAACUAAUUAAAUUUUAGCUCGAUUGACAUCAACAUUUUUGCUAAUGCAUGAGAAUAUGAGUUCGAGUCCGUUGAAACGCAUUAUCUUUCUAUUUAAAGGUUAAGGAGGGGUUAUGGAUAGUACUAGGCAUUAUAUUAAAAAAAUAGAUAUGAUAAUCUCCUAUAAUGAUAUUAAUGUUAAAAAAAAUAUAAUUAUAAAAAAAUUAAUAAUUGAGUUAUAAGUAAAACGAUAAAAAUGCUUAGGAAUAAAAAUUUUUAAGGUUAGGUUCAAUCAUUUGAUAUUGCAUCUUUAAUUGUUUUAUUUAAAUAUUUCAUAUAAAAAUAGUAAAAAAAUGAAAAUAUCAUUAUAUUAAUAAUUAAUCAUUUAUUUUUAAAAAAAAGUUUUUAAGUAAUUUUAUUAAUCGAAUUGGUGUCAAAUUGACUCACGAUACCAACUCAAACAAAUAUAUUAAAUAAGUGUAGAUACAUGAUUUUUUUUUAAUUCUUACCCUUGUAAUAAUUUCUUUUUUUUUUCUUUAAAUAUUAGUUGUUAUAAAAAAUUAAAUCUUAUCAACAAAAUAAGAUUUCAACACUAUCAAAAAACCAUGCAUUUAUAAAAAAAAAUGUAACUACCGACCUCUUUUUUCUCACUUAUAAAUAAAUUAUUCAAUUUUUUUACGAUGAUAUCUCAACUAAAUCUAUUCAUCAAUUAGGUUAUUCGUCUAAGUUUGAAAGUUCAUUUGAAAUUUGAGAGGGUUUAGAUAAAAAUAUUAGGCUCGAAAAAUAGAUUUGGGCAAAAAAAUUCAACCCAUUUAAAAUAUAAGUUGAGCUUGGACUCCAGUAUUCAAGGCUAAUCAUUUUCUAAGGUUGUAUAAUAUUAUAUCAUGUUAUUUUUAUAUAUCAAGUAAUUUUUAACACAUAAGAAUUAAAUUUAUAGUAAUAAAUUAAUACUAUAAUGUAAACAUACUAAAAAAAUGUUAAAUUUCAUAUAUAUAAAAUUUUAAUAAAUGAAAAAUAUUUAAAAUAAAUUAAUAUUUAAUAUUUAAUUAAAAAACAAUAUAAAUACUUUUGAAAAAAUUUUAUAAACAAUAUGGUCGGGCUUAAAAUGGAUUAGGUUAACCAUUUACAAAUAUGAGCGCUUUUGGUAAAAUUUUUUAGUUUUAUAUUUUAGGCAAGGCCAAACUUGUAAACAUAAAAUUUGUUAGGUUAAAUUUUGCUAUUAGUCCUUGUACUUUAAAAAAGUUACAGAUUUGGUCCUUUUACUUUAAUUUGAUCAAUUUUAAUCCAUAUUUUUUGAUUUAGUCAAUUUUAGACCUUAUACUUUUAGAAUUUUGAACUUUUAAUCUUCAUCCAAGUUGUAGUAGCUAAAUUCAUCCGAUUAAAUUCAAUUACUAUUCAUGUACUAUGCGUACAAUUGUAGAUUUAGCCCAUAUUUUCUAAUUGGAUCAUUCUGAGUCCUUAUACUUUUCAAAUUUUGAAAUUUCAAUUAUAAUGCAAAAUACUGUCGUUAAUCCAUUAACUAAAUUUUUAGUGAUUAAUAUGUAGAAAUAACAAGUUGACAUGACAUUACAUAUAAUAAUAUGUUUCUCAUAAGAUUUUGGAAAUAGCAAAAUUUACGUGAAUGGAUUUAAAUUACAAUUGCGGUUGCGUUUUCAAUUGCAUUUAUCGUGGUUGCACACAUAAUGGAUGCUAUUGCGAUCAUUGCGGUCUUGAAUUUUUUUUUUAAAUCAAAAACUUAUUAUAAAACAUAAUAAUUAUAAUUAUAAAAAGUCACUUUUAAUUAUUUUUAGAGUGUUUUCUAACACUUAUGAACUUUUAUUAAUAUGAUAACACAAUUUUUACAAUCAUUAAUUAUUCUUAUAUUUAUUUAAGAAUUUUUUAAGAAUAUUAUAUUAACUAAUAAAAAAGUAAAAAAAAUAGGAAAUAUUAAACAUUCAUCAUAUUUAAUAAGUUUGAAAGUUUUUAUAGAUAAAAUAAUUAAAAAUUCAUACAUGAGAGAGGUCUUCAAUAUUUCUUCACAGCUUUAAAAAUGGUAAAGAUAUCAAACCAUUCUAUGUUACAAAAGGAAAAAAAAGGAAUAGAUAAAUGUAUAGAUUCUCAUUCUUAUUAUUUAUUCUCACUCUCAUUCAACUUUCAUAUAUAGUUUAACAUGCUUCCAUUCUUAAUUAUCUUUUCAUAAAAUAUACUCCAUUCAUUUAUCUAUAGAUGUAUUUUAAAUGUUUUAAUAUCAUUAAAAUUAAAAACAUUAACAAAAGUUUUCUUUAAAAAAAAACAUACCUUACAAAUAGCGGUAGUGAUACAAUUUAAUUUUCACCAAUUAAUAGAAUAACAAGGAUGAUUAGAUCCUUCACCUUCACUUUGAGAGCGUUCUUGACUUUAUUCUCGUGUCCUUUGUCCAAAAAUAUAUCCAAAAAAAAAACAUUGUCACCUUGGUUUUCAUAUAAUUGAUAUUUAGAAUAUAUUUGAGGAGGGAGAUGCAUGAAAGGUGGAGGUGGAUGAUACAUUGGUGCUGGAGGAUGCAUGUGAGGCUGAUAUGGCACACCAUAAUUAGGAAAUAGUAGAUAAUAACCAUAUGGUUGUGAAUAACCAGGUGGAUGUUAAAAAUAUGAAGGUUUGUCCGGUGGAUAAAAACAUUGUGUGCUAGUGUCAUGGGUUGCGCAUACUCUAAGUCCAUGACACUAGUAGAUGAAUCACUAUACCCAAGGUUACUAGAACUCGAUCUCCUACCAAAUGAAUAGCCUAUAGAAGUAUGCUUCUUACCUUUUCUUUUAAUGGAGCUCUAGGUUUACUUCUAUCUCUCCUAGGUUCAGGAAAUAUAUUUCUAUUAAAUUUUGAUAUAUCACAGAAAUGUCCACUAAUGGUACUAACCCCAUAUUCUCCUCCAUACCGACUAGAAGACCUAAUUUCACCUCUAUGUCCAUGAUCAUCAUCAAUUGGACUUAAACCACCACCAUCAGGUCCAUCACCACUCUGACUUGGCAUUGCACUAGAACUUGAAUGAGACAAUUUUGUUAUUGAGCUUUAUUAACAUUUAUUUUAUCAUCAGAGGUAUCCACAUGCAACACACCAACAUUUUCACCAUCUAACAAUGAAUUCUCUUUCUCUUAAAGUCAUUCUGAUAGUGGAUCAACAUCUUCAAAGAUAUGAUCAAGGCUAAUAGGAUUAAAACUAGCAUUUAUAUCAUCAAUGCUCAUUCUUUUUUUAUGCCUUAUCUGAAGCUUCAUAUUAUAGUAGGUAAACACUAGUUUAUCAAAUUUUUUAUACUUCAACUCAUUUCUUGCCUUGAUGUGAAUAUAACUAAAUGUGUUCUAAUUUUGUUCGCAGUUUGAUGCAAAAGUUGUUUAACUAAGCACUUUAAUUGCUAAUAUUUAUAACUCAAGAACACAUGUCAUAUAUUAUCCACCACUCAGCUGCAUAAUAUUAUUUAAAUUUCAAAAUAACUUCAAAAUGUACAAUAUAAUUAAAUAAUUUAAUUAACUACUUACCCAGAUUCAUAUGCUUCCAAGCUCCUUGUGCUUGUGAAGUACCAAAUGUCUCAUAUUUAUCUUUAAAUAGUAACAACUAAAUAAAUAAAAAGAUAGUAAAAAUAAAAAAAAUAAUUCCAUUUCAAAUUAUGUAACUAAGUUAUAAAUAAUAGUACUUGAAUAUAACUUGAUUAACCAUUCUAACUUGAGUAUCAAAAGAAAGUUCUAAUCUUUCAAUUAUUGAUGUUGUACCUUCUAAUGUUUCUAUUACUACGUUCUAAGAAUGUUCCACCCCAAAUUGAAAUUGAGGAUUGAGAAAAUAACCUAAGCAUACUUUAUAAGAAUAUCAUCAAAUAAUAAUAAUCUAAAGCUUAAAAUAAUAAAAUAUAAAAAUAGUUCUUAAUUAUAUAAAACAUUUUAUCUUACCAGCUGAAUGCAAGUCAGAAUGCAUAAAAUUUCAUCUAUUGUCAGUAAUCUGUUCGUACUCGGUGAAAUAUCGACAAUCUUGUCGAAUUGCUCGUUUAGCUCUAUCAACAGCCUCAAAAAUAAAGUCUAUUGUUGGUUUUUCAUCACCAUCCACAAGUUUCAAUAAUUUUACUAGGGGCUCGUAAACUUUAAAAAAGAGCCACUGAUCUUUUUAAAAUCAUUAAAGGUUGUUAUAUUUAAGUAAUUAUAUUAACUAAUUAUAAAAUAUUUACAUUUAAAUUAAACAUUUCUCUCAUAUCUUACUUUUGUCUUGUUAUCUCUUCAAGUUAAUGAAAUGAUUUGCAAAUCGAGUAAGAGCAGGUCGAAGUAUUUAUUUCCCUUGUGAAUACUUCAUCAAAUCAAUAGUCCAAUUGUGAUUGUAUAUAACGCAAGUCACUUUCUUAGCCUCAUCUAACACUUUUUCUACGAUGAGUUUUUUCCCAAUAUCUUCAAGGAAUAAAUCUAAACAGUGAGUUACACAUGAGGUCCAAUAUAAAUGCUUUCUUUUCAACAUUAAUUUUUUCCAACAGCUUUCUCAAAUUUCUUCUACAACUAAAUAUAACAAACUGUAGUAGAAUUUAGCAUCUCUAUUAUGAACACUCGAGACAUCCACAGAUUUCUAAAAAACGGUUCCUUUACUGCAAUAAACAAGGAAACUAAUUAUGUGCAUUUGAUUCAAAUUGUUGGUCCAACCAUCACACAGUAGAGUUGCAUUCAAUUCUUUCCAUUGAGUCUUUAGUUCAUUUACCCAAUCACGAACUCAUUGACACUCUGACUUCAAAUACACAUUUAAAACCUCAUAAGGUGUUGAGAGCUUUACACCUUAUCCAACUUCUAUUGACACUUGAAUUAAGUUAUACAAUUAUGGAAAAGUUGCUAAUUGAAAAAACAUUCAUAUAUUAAAAAUUUAGAUAUCGUUUCACUUAUCUCCCUGCGUAAAGUCUUUAAAAAAAAGCCAUUAAUCUUUAGUUAUUUUGAGCUUUUGCUUUUAGCCAAUUCAAGUAUAACUCCCCUUAAGGUAAACUUAGACUCACUUAAGAUGGAUUUACUUAUUCUUUCUCUAUGAUAUUCUCCAAGUGAUCCAUGAGAAGAUUACUAUUCUUCAUAAAUGUUACUCCAAUCAUUAGUACUUCGUCUAAAAUUUUUCCUUCUAUACCACUCGUGUUGUGACAGGACACUUUUAAAUCGAUUAUCGACUUAUCGGUACAAGAAAUUUGUUCAAAAAAAGAAAAAACAAUCCAAACUCUAAACUUUCACACUCAAAUUUCACUAUCCAAACUCCAAACCAAACAAAAUCACAACACAAUUACAAAAUUCUCUAAAUAAAAUCUUUCAUAAAUUCAUAACUUUUAAGUACAUGAAUUUUUUUUUGUCUUAAUUCUUGCUUCUUUUUGUUGUAACAUGCAAAGAUUGACGAGAAAUUUUUGACAAAAUCUUUACAAAUCAUUUUUAUAUUUUCGGGUAUUUUGGUAGUAAUCAAUGGUAGCCUAUGUAAAGUUUAAAGAAAUUGGAAAAAAAAAUGGAGAAUGAACGGAUCUUGUAAAGAAAAGCAAAGAAAACUUAAACCUUAAUUUUUUUUUCUCUUUCAUUUUUUACUCUCUGCCUCACGAUAGAAGAAGAGGAAGGAGGUUGAGGCCUGGGGGAACUUGGGAAACUUUUUGUUUUAAUUUUUAAUUUUUGGGUUUUGAGUGACCCGGCAAUAAUGGGUUGUGGUGGGUUAUUUUUAAAAAAUAAAUUAUAGAUAUACAAUAAAUUUAUUUUUUCAAUGUUAGUGAUGAUAAGUUAUAAAAGUAACAUAUUUUAAUUUUAUUCUUAAUGAGUUUUUAGAUGAUUAUUUAUGCAAAUUGAUAAUUUCUAAUCCUUUAAAUUCAUGUUUCUAUACUUAUUAGAACAUUUGGUAGCAAAAGGAGCGAAAAAAAUAUAGCAAAAAUCAGACAAGUAGAGCAAAUUUCAAGAGCCACACGGGCUAGGCCUUCCCACACGGGUUGGACACACGGCCAUGUGAGCCACAUAGGAUGGACACACAGUCAUGUGCCAGACCGUGUUGAUUUCUUGACUCGUAUCCCAAACACGCGAAAAAACGCAAUUUUUGGGCUUUCUAGUCAUUCGAAAGUCUAUAAAUAUCAAAUAGAAGAAAAGAAUAUGAGACAUCAGAGAAUAUUGAAGAAAACAACUCGAAGAACACCACUGAAACCAACUCUAAAGCAGAUUUUCAUCAAGAUUGAAGGCCUCCUUUUAAUUUCUUUAAAAUUUUUAUGAUUUUCUUUAAUUCUUGUGGUUAUAUUGAUUUUGAGAUAAUUUUAUUUACAAUUAUGAAUUAAUUUCCUAGAUACCUAAGAAUGAUAAACUCUAUGAUGAAAUCUAUUAUUUGAUUUAUGUUUUAUGUGAUAAAUAUUUUAUUCUUAUUCUCAGUAAUGUGUGCUUAACUAUUAUUUUAAUGUUUCUAGGAUAUUAAUUCAUAUUUAUUAUGCUUAAACCAGAGGAGAAAAAUCCUUAUUUAAGAGUAGAUCUAACAUAAUUAAGUGGAGUUGCAUGCAAUCCUAAAAAUAGAAUGACAUAAAUCUAUCGAAAUAGAGUCAAAUCUAAUAAAGGAAGAGUUAAUGUGAUAAUAAGGAUUUUAAUUAAAAAGAAAUUUCAAUUAAUUAACCUAGAGUCAACUGUUCUUACUUAAGAAAGAGAUAAUAGCAAAAUUUAAGGAUUUUGCGGAUCAAGAUAUCAAGUGAAUAAAUCAUUUAAUUCAAAUUCAUAAUGAUAGAUUAAAUCUAAGUGAAUUCUUUCUUGGGUAUUAUUUUACUUCUUGGUUAUUAUUCAAUUAUUUUCCUAAUUUAUUCUCUCCUGAGUUCUUUGGUUAAUUAAUUUAGUAUAUUUAGCUUCAAUCAAUCAUAUCAAAUUAUCAAUUAAAUAAUAGGAAAAUGGUUAUUACUAGUACUUUUAGUGCUCGUGGAUACGAUACCUCUACUCAACGUUGCUAUACUACUUAUCGACAGGCGCACUCGUCUUUGUCAUAUUUUUAGUUAGUUUCGUGAUUUUUUUUUGUAUUAUAUUGUUGAUAAUAUAAGUAACGAAUUACUUAUAUUUCUAAAUAUAAUUUUAUAUUUCUUGUAUAUAAAUAAAAAUAAAGCAUGUCACCACUUGAAGAAUUCCCAACUAAAGGAUUGGAGGGUGCACCAAGUAAUGAUAUAGGUUAACACUUUGGAACUCUAGUGUCAUAUAUGAAAGGAAAUGUCGUAUGAAAACUUUGUAAUAAAGUUGUGAAAGAAGAAAUAACACGAUUUAAAGAGCACAUUGCUCAUAAAACCGGUAAUUUUGCACCAAGCCCUAAUUUAUUGGUAUGUAAUACUUUAUUAUUAUUUUUUAAAUAUUAUCGUAAAUUUAUCAAUAAAGAUUAUACAUAAUUGAUAAUAAUAUAAAAAGUAAAUUAUUUUUAUUUUAUUAACAGGUGUCCGUAGAGAAAGUAUGACGAAUAUACUGAAAGAAAGCAACACAAAGAAAAUAGACAAAAAGAGAACAAAUGAAUUCUUAUCCCAAUUAAAAGGAGGGAAGGAUAAACACGAGGGAUUCAUUGAUGAUGUUUCUGUUAGGCAAGCAACUCGAGAAAAUAUCUAAUCACAACACGAGUGGCAUAGAAGGAAGAAUUCAGACGAAGUACUAGUAGUUGGAGUAACAUUUAUGAAGAAGAGUGAUCUUCUCAUGGAUCAAUUAAAGAAUAUUAUGGAGAAAGAACAAAUAAAUUCAUCCAAAGUGAGUCUAAGUUUACCUUCAGGGAGCUAUACUUGAUUGGCUAGAAGCAAAAGCUCAAAACAACCAAAGAUAACUGGCUCUUUUUUAAAGACAUUACGCAGAAAGAUAGGUGAAGUAAUAUCUAAAUUUUUAAUAUAUGAACGACUUCCUUUUCAAUUAGCAAGCUCUCCAUGGUUGUAUAACUUAUUUCAAAUGUCAAAAGAAGUUGGACAAUGUGUAAAACUUCCAACACCUUAUGAGGUUUCAGAUGUGUAAUUGAAGUUAGAAUAUCAACAAAUUCGUGAUUGCGUAAAUGAACUAAAGACUCAUUGAAAUGAAUUGGGUGUAACUCUAACGUGUGAUAGUUGAACCAACAAUUUGAAUUAAAUGCACAUUAUUAAUUUCCUUGUUUAUUGUAAAUGAAUCGUUUUUUGAAAAUCUGUAGAUGUCUCGAGUGUUUAUAAUAGAGAUAUUGAAUUCUACUACAUUUUGUUAGAUUCAAUUGUAGAAGAAAUUGAAAAAAGUUACACUGUCCAAAUAGUGACUGAUGAGGCAACAAUAAAAGCCACUGGAAAAAAUUAAUGUUGAAAGAAAAUAUUUAUAUUGGACCUCAUGUACAACUCACUAUUUAGAUUUAUACUUUGAAGAUAUUAGGAAAAAGUCAAGUGUAGCAAAAGUGUUAGAUGAGGCUAAGAAAGUAACUUACUUUAUAUACAAUCACAUUUGAACUAUUGAUUUGAUGAAGAAGUAUACAUAAGGGAAGCAAAUACUUCAACCCUCUCUUACUCGAUUCGCAACUCAUUUCAUUAAACUUGAAAAGAUAAUAAGACAAAAAACAAGAUCUGAAAGAAAUAUUUAAUUCAAAGGUCAAUAUUUUAUAAUUACUUAAUAUAAUUACUUCAAUAUAACAACCUUUAAUUAUUUUAUUAAUUUCAAAUAAUUUAAAUUAUAUUAUUUUAAAAUUUUUCUUAUAAAUAUAUAGGAAUUUAAAUAACCAAAAUGGGGACGAUAAAAGUUAGGGCCUACUUAUGAAGCCAAAACAAUUGUUUUUUAAAAAAAAAUUAGAAAAAAGCCAAUGACCUAAUAAAAAUUUACGAGCCCCUAGUAAAAGUAUUGAGACUUGUGGAUAGUGAUGAAAAACUAACAAUGGGUUUUAUUUAUAAAAUUUUUGAUAAAACUAAAUGAGCAAUUCAACAAGAUUGUCCAUAUUUCACCGAGUACGAAAAGAUCAUUAACAUUAGAUGAAAUUUUAUGCUUUCUAACUUGCAUUCAGGUGGUAAGAUAAAAUAUUUCAUAUAAUUAAGAACUAUUUUUAUAUUUGAUUAUUUUAAGCUUUAGAUUAUUAUUUAAUAAUAUUCUUAUAAAUUUUACUUAGGUUAUUUUCUUGAUCGUCAAUUUCAAUUUGGGGUGGAGCAUUCUUAGGACGUACUAGUUGAAAUAUUAGAAGGUACAAGAUAAAUAAUUGAAAGAUUAGAACAUUCUCUUAAUACUCAAGUCAGAAUGAUUAAUCAAGUUAGAUUCAAAUAUUAUUAUUUGUAACUUAGUUACAUAAUUUGAAAUGAAAUUAUUUUUUUUCAUUUUUACUCUAUCUUUUUAUUUAUGCAAUUGUUACUAUUUAAAAAUAAACAUGAGAGAUUCGAUACUUCACAAGCACAAAGAGCUUAGAAGCAAAUGAAUCCAGAUAAAUAGUUAAUUAAAUUGUUUAAUUUAAUUUAAUUUUUAUUAUUUAAUUAUAUUGUACAUUUUGAAGUUAUUUUGAAAUUUAAAUAAUAUUAUGCAGCUAAGUGGUGGAUAAUAUAUGGCACAUGUAUUCCUGAGUUACAAAGAUUAACAAUUAAAGUACUUGGUCAAACAACUUCUGCAUCAAAUUGUGAACGAAAUUGCAACUCAUUAAGUUAUAUUCACACCAAGGCAAGAAAUAGGUUCAAUUAUAAAAAACUUGAGAAACUAGUGUUUACCUACUAUAAUAUAAGGCUUCAGAUAAAGCAUCAAAAAAAAAUGAGCAUUGAUGAUAUAAACACUAGUUUUAAUCCUAUCAGCCUUUAUCAUAUCUUUGUAGAUGUUGAUCGACUAAUCAGAUUUACUUCAAGAGAAAAAGAAUCUAUUGUUAGAUGGUGAAAAUGUCGGUGUGUUGCAUGUGGAUAACUCUAAUGGUGAAAUAAAUAUUGAUCAAUUUUAACAACAAAAGUCUCAUUCAAGUUCUAGUGCAACGCUAAGUUAGAGUGGCGAUAAACAUAAUGGUGAUGGUUUAAGACCAAUAGGUGACGAUGAUGGACAUAGUGGUAAUAGAGGUGAAAUUAGGUCUUCUAGUCAAUAUAGAGGACAAUGUGAAAUUGGUACCAGUAGUGGAUAUUUCCAUGAUAGUUCAGAAUUUGAUAGAAAUAUUUUUCCUGAACCUAGGAGAGAUAAAAGUGAACUUAGAGCUCCAUCAAAAUGAAAAGGCAAGAAGCAUACUUCUGUAUGCUUUUCAUCACGUAGGAGAUCGAGUUCUAAUAACAUUAGAUAUAGUGAUUCAUCCACUAGCACUCAAGGUUUUUAUCCACCUGAACAACCUUCAUAUUUUCAACUUUCACAUGGUUAUCCAUAACCAUAUGGUUAUUAUCCACCAUUUCCUAAUUAUGAUGUGUCAUUUCAGCUUCAAAUGCAUCAUCCACCACCAAUGUAUCAUUCUCCUCAAAUAUAUCCUCCAUAUCAAUUAUAUGAAAACCAAGUUAAAAAUCUUACAUUUUUUAUAUAUAUUUUUGGACAAAGGUCAUGAGAACCAAGUCAAAAACGCUUUGAAAGUGAAGGUGAAGAAUUUAAUCCUCCUCGUCAUUCCACUAAUUAGUGAAAACUAAAUUGUACCACUACCACUAUUUGUAAGGUAUUUUUUUUAAAGAAUAUUUUUGUUAAUGUUUUUAAUUUUAAUGAUAUUAAAACAUUUAAAAUACAUUUAUAGAUAAAUGAAUAAAGUAUAAAACAAUAAUUAAGAAUUGAAACAUGUUAAACUAUAUAUGAAAGUAGAAUGAGAGCGAGAAUAAGUGGUAGGAAAUAGGAAUAAUUAAUGAGAAUCUAUACAUUUAUAACGACCUAUUUUUUGCAGUAACAAUUUUGGACGACACUGCUACUGCUAUAUAACGGCCGCUAUUUCGCUACCCAACAAUUAUUUAAAUCCCUGAAUUUAACAAUUAUUGUCUAGUGAGGAUUAAAAUUUUAAAAAUUGAAAAGUACAAGGGUUAAAAAUGAACAAAGAUUAAAUCCACAACUUUCAAAAAGUACAGAGAGUAAUGACAAAAUUUACCAAUUUGUUAAUACUAUACUUAAGCUUGACCUGACCCGUUUCGAUCCAUAAACACUUUUAAUCCUAACCCAACUUUUUUUUAAGGAUUUAAUCCAUUUAAUUUUAAACUUAAGAUAAAAAUUUCCUAACUCUAUCCACAAAUAUUUUAAUAAAACUAUACUACUAUAUAUAAAAAGUCCAUCCUUCUUUGACACCCUGUCCUUUACUUUUCUUUUACAUUACUAAUAAUAAUGGUUAAAUUUCUAUUGAGGCCCCUCUACUUUUUAAUUAUACAAAAAUGGUCAAAUUUUUAUUUCAAUCCUUAUAACAUGCUUAAAUUUAAUAUUUGAUUUUUAUACUUUAAUUUCAUACAUAGUUUGCUACCUCAAAGUUUAUAAUGUUAUUAGUUAGACUAAAUAUUUUAUUUUAAAUUAAAAUAUUAAAGUAAAUUUAAAGAAUUGUUAACGUCAUUUUUUUUUGUUAUAUUUAGUCCUAUUACAAUGCCAUUUUUCUGACAUGAUCAUGGAAUGAAUACUUUUUUAAAAUUUAGAAUGUCACACCAAUAAGAUUUGAAAAAAUAAAAGGACUAAAUUCUUAAAAAUAAAAAUAUAAAAAUUAGAUUCUAAAAAUAUAGAGAGUAGAUUAUAACCUUUAACUUUUAACUAUUUAAUCUAAAAAUAAUUAAGCAUGAAAUGAACCAUACGAAUUAAAAAUAAAAGGUAAGAUUUGGUGAAACAAUCCCACGAGAUAAAGACAGAAAUAAUUGUCUUUUCCUAAGUCAUUACACCACAUAUAAUUUAGAGAUGCAAACAAGAACCAGAAGAAUUAAAAGGUUGUGUUUGGUAGUAAUUAUUUAGUAAACAAAAUAUUAGAAAUUUAACUUUAAGUUAUGGUUUAUUAGUGGAAUGUUCAUUUUCUUUAAAAAUAGUUUGAGCUUCAAUUACGAUAGUAGAAAAAACAUUAAAAAUUGGGGAAAGAAUAAUUAAUUAUUUUCUUUCAGGACUUAUAUUUUUUUUUUUUCAAAUCUUGUUAUAUAAAUAUUAUUCAAUGAAAUAUUGCUUACUCUCACAAAACAAUUCUUUGUUUAUCUUUGAGAUUAUAAUUAGUCUUGAUUUAUGCUUUGUAUUUAUAUUGGAUAAUUUUACUAUUUAAAAAUAUUUGAAUAAUUUAAAAAUAUAGUUAUUAAUUGAAAUGUAGAUAUUAGAUCAGUUAAAGACUUUAGGUUAUAAUGAUGUACGACGGUCCGUUUCAUAAAAUAUUAAUUUUAACCGAAAUGGAUAUGCAGGGUUUAUCCUCCCACAAAGAAAAGCAUGUUCAGGGGUUAUCAUUUGAAACGAGAUGGGCCAAACUUUGGUAGCUUGCAGUAGACUUACCAGUUGGGUUCCAUCGGCGUUUGCCGCCGAAGCUCUAGCUGUAAUUCAUGGCCUUCGCUUUGCACUCGAUCUUGACUUCCAAUCUGUGAUUUUAGAAGGGGGCUCAAGGUCGGUCAUCCAAAAAAUAGUGGAUAAUGGGAAGGAUUUAUCGGAAAUAAGCGCGCUUACCUGGGAAGCAAAGGAACUCGCGAAAUCUUUUCGGUUUUGCAGGUUCCAUUUUGUAGAUCGAUCCGGAAACAAGGCAGCGCAUGCAAUGACGCGGGACGGGCUGAGGAGAGACGAGGAUAGAUUCUGGGUGGAGGAGGUUCCCGAUUUGGCUACUGUGACUGUCGAUGAUGAUUACAGAUCUGUAGACCCUCCGUAGGUGUGCUAUUCAGGGUUGGUUUUGAGGGGAUUCAUUUUCACUUUUGGCCCUCGUAUGUCUUUGUUGCUCCCUUGGGUCUUCUUUGUUUGGUUAAAUGGUAGUGAAGGGAGCAUCGAUGGUCGGAAUUUCUGUAAAUUUUGUUUAGUCUUGUUUGGUGUGGGUUCUGUUUCUUUUUUGUUUGUGUGUUGGUUUUGUUUUGGUCAGGUUGUUUUGGGUGAGUCUGUUUAUCUGACGUCUUAAUUGUUUUUUGGGUUUUGUUUUGACGGUUUAAUUUUCCAAUAAGAGUGACCGGUAUUUAUUCAAAAAAAUGUAUAAAGAUAAUUAAUUUUAAAUUAUAUAAACGAAUCGACCUCCUAUGUUUUAUACAAUUAUAUUAUUAUAUAAUCCUGAUAUGUUUCAAAAGAAUCCUAUGAUAAAUAUUUAAAAAAUAAUUGUUA
This 22268-nucleotide long non-coding RNA is filed under the name Gossypium barbadense (sea-island cotton). RNAcentral describes it as "long non-coding RNA (GBAR_LNC018074)". Lineage: Eukaryota; Viridiplantae; Streptophyta; Magnoliopsida; Malvales; Malvaceae. The record is from RNAcentral.